This 429-nucleotide ribosomal RNA is filed under the name uncultured bacterium. RNAcentral's name for it is "bacterial SSU rRNA". It matches the Rfam family "Bacterial small subunit ribosomal RNA", at positions 355 to 796 of the family's 1533-position model. The record is from RNAcentral.
ACGAGAAUAUUCGACAAUGGGCGAAAGCCUGAUCGAGCGACGCCGCGUGAUGGAUGAAGUCCUUCGGGACGUAAACAUCUUUUAUGCGUGAGAAAGUUAUUGAUGUUAGCGCAUGAAUAAGAGGCUCCUAACUCUGUGCCAGCAGGAGCGGUAAUACAGAGGCCUCAAGCAUUAUCCGGAAUCACUGGGCGUAAAGGGUGUGUAGGCGGUCGUGUUAGUCUUUCGUGAAAGGCUUUGGGCUUAACCCAGAGACCGCGGGGGAAACGGCACGGCUUCGAGGACGCGAGAGGUAGAGGGAACUCAUGGUGUAGGGGUGAAAUCCGUUGAUAUCAUGGGGAACACCAAAUGCGAAGGCACUCUACUGGCGCGCUCCUGACGCUGAAACACGAAAGCGUGGGAAUCGAACGGGAUUAGAUACCCCCGUAGUCC